RNAcentral lists this long non-coding RNA (2424 nucleotides) under Gallus gallus (chicken). Its description in RNAcentral is "lncRNA (ENSGALG00010004066.1)". Lineage: Eukaryota; Metazoa; Chordata; Aves; Galliformes; Phasianidae. The record is from RNAcentral.
UUUGAUGCCUGUUGCGAAAGGGAUGGGGGCUGCAGAGUUCACCGUAUGCUGGUGUCAGGAGCACGGACAGCAGAGCUCCCAGCAGAAGGGCACGGCAGAGGACAAGGGUGGCUGGGGGACAUGGUGGCUCAGCUCCACCCAGCAGAAGUUCCUGCUCAGGGCUCCAGCAAGCACCAGGGCAGGAGGGAAGUGCCCAUCUGUGCACACAUCAGCUGUGCCUCCUGGGGCAUCCCCGCCUGACAAUGCGCCCAGCUGACGCAGGGAGGUGGCAGCUGUGCCUCCACGCUGCAUGGCUUUACUGGGAGCGGGGCUAUAAAAGUGGUAUGGAGUCAAUCCUGUCCUCAUGGAAUCAAGUCUUAAAUCACUACAAUGGGAACACGGCUGAUUCUGAUUCAUUGUACCCUGUUCCCUGUGUUACAUCUACUCUGAAUGUCUGCACUUCUCUUGUCAAAAUAAUCUCCAAUGGAAUCACUGCAAGCAUUUUUUCUACCUAUAUAUUGUCAUAUACUACUUGCCAGUUUUUCUUCUUUUUUUGUUUUGAUGGAAUACACAAAGAUCAGAACAUAACAGAAGGUGCUGAACAGUAUUUGUCCUUUUAUUCCUACACUGCUCAAAUAUUGUUUCACUAAAACUGGAACUUUUCACUCAUGGGAAAGAUUGAUCAAGAUCAGAGAGUACAUACUGAUAUGACUACAGGUAUUGUCAGUUUCAUGAGUGUAUGAAUUUUAAUUGUGCAUUUUGACAAAUGCAAAUUAAAGAACCUGCUUUUCUCUAUUGACUGUCCUUAGGUUAUUAAGUGGAAAUAAUUGAAUCAUAGAAUCACAGAAUGGCCUGGGUUGAAAAGGACCACAGUGAUCAUCGAGUUUCAACCCCGGCUAUGUGCAGGGUCACCAACCACUAGACCAGGCUGCCUAGAGCCACAUCUGGCCUGUACUUGAAUGCCUCCAGGGAUGGGGCAUCCACAGUCUCCUUGGGGCUCAGCUCUGUCCCUAUCAGAAAAAUGAUGCUUUCAGAAUUUUUACAUUAUUUAUGAGAUAGAGUAUUUUUUCUUUGUUUGUUUCUGUGUUUUUGUUUUUGUUCAAUACUAAUAAGGGCUGUGGCUUUAGGAAAACAUAGUUUCUCUGACACUGCCAUGUGAUCAGAUGGCUUACACUGAGCUAAAUAAAUGGUCUUGAAAAUACAUAUUGUUUGAAAUAAAGGACCUUAUUUUCAAGUACUAUGAAGCACAUGGACAUCUCAUAGAAAAAGAACUAUUAGCUGACGCACUGAGAACAGCUUUAAUCCACUCUCCCUAUGAGCUCUUAUGAGCUCAUGGUUCAAAGGACACUUUCAUGUUUUUAUAUUAAGCGCUUAGAAUUCUUUGUGAGCAAAAACUUUUAUAAGGAUUUUCAGCUUUUAAAAAGAGUCUUUCCAAGAUUUCUGUGAGAUUGCUCAAGCAACAUAUCCAGUCCUCAGAACAAUCCCACAAAAUGAAUAAACUUUGACAUACAAGUGCCUAUCACAUCUUGAAAGCGUUUAGCUUUUGAGAACAUUUUGUAGAAGAGUUUUUUGUUACAUGGAUCUUUCAUCCAUUUUCCCAUCCUCAUCCAGCAGCCAAAAUUAUUAUCAGAGAAACCUGUGCAGACCUCACAAAAUAAAAAUGGAGGUGUUACAGAAGGUGAAAGUUCAGUUCUUCAUGUUUAAGUCAGCAAGAGCACUGAGUUCAAGAGAAAGAUUUACUGAAAUCUUCAGUUAGGAGUAAAGGAAGAAAACCUUAUAGGGCCCGCGAAGCUUGUAUUUCCAAACAAGUGUUAAUAAAUCACAGUUCAUCUCAUUUAAAAUCUGUAUAAAAUAAUUUAGAUAAAAUGCACUUAACAGACAUCAAAGUUCUACCUACUUGCAAUAGAUAACCUGAGGCAGAAGUGUCCAAUAUAAGUAGGGUAGUUUCAGCCUUGUAAAAAUCAUGAAAAUACUUUGCAAAGUUGUUUUGAAAAUGUCUUUUGGCAACCCUGAUGACUCCAGGUAUAUACUGAUGGGAUCACAUUAAUGUCUUUGGCUACCUGAGCUUAUCAUUCCUCACAUUAAUAUUAAUGUAAUCAUUUUGGACUUCUUAAUAGACUUCACAGAGUCUUCACGGUUUGUCUUCACAGAGUCACAGUGUUAUUUAUGUAAGAUCUUUUCCAGAGUCUCAGUUUAGUAAAGAUUGGGACUUACAGUGGUAAGGUCACUGUAAUACUGAGGACAAAAGAGAAACACCUCUGGGAAAAUGUCUGGUGUCUUAUGCUGAAUAAUUUCUCUUAUUGUAUAAAUUUCUUAUGCUUUAUAUUUUCAUACUUGUUUAUACUGUGUGGCUCCUGCUCUCAUUAAAAAAAAAAUAUAUAUAUAUAAAAAUAAAUGCUGUAACAUAUCAAUAUUAUUAUCUGCCCUUCUAUAAAUAAAACAGCC